Molecule: transfer RNA, 72 nt
Filed under: Ohtaekwangia sp.
Lineage: Bacteria; Pseudomonadati; Bacteroidota; Cytophagia; Cytophagales; Fulvivirgaceae
Also listed under: 2 other names
Description: tRNA-Arg
Rfam family: tRNA
About the family: Transfer RNA (tRNA) molecules are approximately 80 nucleotides in length. Their secondary structure includes four short double-helical elements and three loops (D, anti-codon, and T loops).
Source: RNAcentral
GGCUCCGUAUUUCAAUGGAUAGAAUUUAAGAUUCCGAUUCUUAAGAUGCAGGUUCGAUUCCUGCCGGGGCUA